GCUGACGUCACGGCGCUGCCCGGAACCCAGCUGAGUUUCCCGCACGGCCGUUCCCGGCAGCUGCCGCCCCCCCCACCGCGCCCCCCCCUCAGCACCGCCCCGCGGCGGGAGGCGGCGCCAUCCGGGAACAGCCGGCAGGGGGCAGCCCCCCCGCGCCGCCGCGAGCCGUGACGUAUGGCGGGGAGGCCGCGCUGAUUGGCCAUCAGGGCCCGUCCCUCGCGGGGCUGCGGGAGCGUCGCGCCGCUAUUGGUCGCGCUCGGCGUGACGUAAGGGGCGGGGCCGGGCGGGCAGCAGGUUUCUCGUCAUUCGGGCAGGGUCCGGACGCGAUCGUCGCCGGUACCGGGAGUCGCUGCCCCGCCCCGUCCGGGACCGCCGCAGACGGGAUUUCUGCCCUUCCCGCGGCGCCCAGCAGGCCCUGGCCCGGCAGGGGCAGCUCCCCGGAGCCGACAAGGCUUCGACCCACUGCGGUGCUGGCAUCACCGUCCCUGCCUGCGGGGUCCGGGGGCUGGGCCCGCCCGUGAAGCGGGCUGACAACCCACCACCCCCAGCCCGAGUGGGCUUCUCGGAGAGGGGAACGCAUCCAGGCUGGCGGAGCUGCUGCCCGGUCCGGUUGCGGUGAGGCUGGGAUGGUGAGCGGCUGUCGGGCCCGUGUGCUGCGGGAUGGGGUUUGGGGCAGAGGCUGAUACAGCCGGUCGCAGCGGUGAGGUGUUUGUGCUGAUGAAAUGAUGUGUAACCAAGACAGAAAGCCUAGCUGGCGGUCCGGCGCCUGGGCGGACUGCGGCUUGAAGACCUGGCUGAUGUCUCCAGCAGAGCUGGGAGCUCCAGGCUGCAGCUUUACCUGCCCCUGCCCCCCCACCCCGAACAGAACCGCUCGCCUGGGGCCACCUGCCUGGAGCAGGCUUCAGUCUGAAGCCGUCCUACAGGCGGUGGGUGCGCUGCAGCGUGGCCGAGGUGCGGAGCAGACCUGUUAGGCUCUGCAUCACGGGGGGAAUGCGAGCCGUGUGCCCGAGCUGCUCGAGUGCUCUGUGGGGGCUGGCAGCUCUGCCCACCUCCCCUCUGCCCCUCGGCUUCCCACCGCUCGGCACAACGCUGUGUGUGACGCUUGUUCCACAGGCUGCCUGUGCCCCCCCUGUGUGCGCCUGUUGCAGGGGCACAGCUGGAG
RNAcentral lists this long non-coding RNA (1162 nucleotides) under Falco tinnunculus (common kestrel). RNAcentral describes it as "lncRNA (ENSFTIG00000002922.1)". The record is from RNAcentral. Lineage: Eukaryota; Metazoa; Chordata; Aves; Falconiformes; Falconidae.